GAGGGGUGCAAACGUUAUUCGGAUUUACUGGGUGUAAAGGGUGUGUAGACGGGUUGUUAAGUUCGUUGUUAAAUCUUCCGGCCUAACCGGAAGCUCGCGAUGGAAACUGGCAAUCUAGAGGAUGGAAGAGAGAAGUGGAAUUCUCGGAGUAGCGGUAAAAUGCGUAGAUCUCGAGAGGAACACCGAUGGCGAAGGCAGCUUCUUGGUCCAUUCCUGACGUUGAGACACGAAAGCGUGGGGAGCAAACAGGAUUAGAUACCCUGGGUAGUCCACGCUGUAAACGAUGAUCACUAGAUGUUGGCUCUGUUUUUGCAGAGUUAGUAUCGAAGCUAACGCGUUAAGUGAUCCACCUGGGAACUACGAUCGCAAGAUUA
This 374-nucleotide ribosomal RNA is filed under the name uncultured organism. Its description in RNAcentral is "partial 16S ribosomal RNA". It matches the Rfam family "Bacterial small subunit ribosomal RNA", at positions 527 to 896 of the family's 1533-position model. The record is from RNAcentral.